UUUUGGCGUACGACUGAAUGGGCGCCAAUUUUAGUCCGGUAUCCAGCUCUUAUAAUACAUCCAUGGCCACAACACUGUAGAGAGCGAACAUGGCACCCACCAGACGGAAGUUUGACGUCAAAUUUAAAGAGAGAGUUUUGCGGAAGAAAACUAAGGAGCGAAAGCUGCAAGACAUUUUGAGACUGACACGAAAAGAAUCAGAUACUGGAAAGAAAAACCGGAGCGUGAGCUGCUGUUAACUGACAAGAGGAGAGCACGGCUAGCUGGAGUGUGGACUCUGGGAACAGUGAGAUGACCACUAGCAGAGGACUCAAGAGGCCAAGAGGGUUCAAAUGGUAAAAGACAAUCAUGAAUGUAUUUUGGUCCUAGGCCACAGAGAGAUUUAUAGACAAGUAAUUUAAGCUCUAUGAAUCACUGGAAUCCAGUGACCUGAGAACUGGCAUAUGUUCAGGUACUCAUCUUUGUUAGGACUGUAGAAGCAGCAUUCUGAAUGUGCUAAAGUUACAUCCAAAAACUAUUAAAAACACAUCAAUGAGCCACAUUGCUGCACUGAGUGACAUGUUCCUUCAUUACGAAGGGUUUGGGCACGGUAGUUUGUUCAGAAACAGCUCCAAAGACUAGCAGCAGCGAUCAUGUUUUCCCUACAGAGUAGUUCUUUGUAAGGCAGGCGGCAUUGUGCAUCCACAGGAACACAGUUCCAUUUACAAUGCCUCACUAGCUUGUUGUGCUACAUUAUAUAUCUGCCUUACAUGGAACUAUUGAAAAAUGUCAGAAAAAUGUUUUAAAGUUGCCCAUCAGAGUUUCUCAGAGCCCAAAGUGACAUCUUCGAAUUGCCUCCUCUGUCCAUCCAAUAGUCCAUAUUCCUAAAAUAUUCACUAUACUAUUAUAUGAGAAAACAAAAAGCAGCAAAUCCUCACUCUGAGGAGUUGUAAUAAGCAUAUGUCUCAAACGAUUAAUGGAUUAUCAAAAUAGUUGCUAACUUACUUUCUGUCAAUCGACAUCAUAAAUCAACUAAUCAUUUCAACUGUACUCUCAUGUCCAAUCCAAAAUAACCCUGAUGACAUUAUCCAGGCUUAUUUUCCCAGUCCUUAGAAAGCUCCAUUAAAGCCACAGAACCACAGAAGUUCUCUUUGUGGCAAGUAAACUGAUCUUUGUGUGUAAUAUCAGUGGAAUACCCCUUUAAAACAUCAGUUUUCUUUGUUAAUGAAAAGCUAGACAGGUUGCAUAAAGAGAGUGUCCAUCACAUUUCACAUCAGGUCCAUGAUAAAAGUCAGGACUUGGCUAGAGCUACUGGCUGAGCCAUCCAAUAGUUUAGUUUGCAGUUUAAUUUAUUUGAGAUGUAUGUAUGAUUGAGAGUAGUCUGAGAGUGGAGUGUUUGUGAAGAUACUCUGGCAUUUAAACAAGAGGAAAAACAGUCAGGGACAGGCUGAAAAUGCAUCACAUUUCGACAUAAUGGCACUGACCUUUGGGUCAGAAUUAAGUCAUAUUUGCCUGACAGUGAACAACUCAGCACAUGUUUAAUUUAAAUUAAGGCCUUUCUGUGUAACACUUGUCAAGUGAGACUAUUAAAUAAAACUCUGUUGAACAAUGAAAGAACUUCUCAUUUAACCAAACAAGUAGAUGGGUUUAGGCACUGGGAGUCAGGAGGUAAAUUAUAUAUUCAUGAAGGUUUUGUAGCUACUUUAUUGGCUUUAGGCUAGACCUCACCAGCAAGCCCAUAAACUUAGUUUGACAGGCCCCAUGUAAAGCAGCGGGAGCAGGAAUAAGCCUCUCACUACUCAUCCCUCCUUUACUGCCUGGAACCUUCUGGAUCACAACAACAGCAAGUGCAACAUGAAGCAGCUGAUAUGGAGAUCAGCUCCCAGGGAGGUUAAGCUGUGAGUAACCACAUCUACCGCUCUGCAUUUAUGGGUUGGAACAGAAUGAAACUUUGAAGGGGAAAAUCCUCCUGGAAGUCAAAUUGCAGAAAAAUAUCUCUAAUGUUUUGUAAAGUUUUGUCAGUAUUUGUCAGUAUUUUUUAAACAUGAACAAGUCUCUCAGGAUGAUAUGAUGCAGACAGCCAUGCCAGGAGACAAAAUCUGAACUCACAGUGCCUGGAAGUCAGACUGUGUAUACUUAGGAAAUUUGAGACAGUUUGAGCCUUUACACUCCAAUGAGUUUCACUUAAUAUCAGAAAUCAUGACACUAGAAGUUCUGAAUCAAUAAAUGUACAUAUCUCUCUUAAAUAGACAUGCAGGAACUGACUGUCUUCUUUCAAGCUUUAGAUUAGCCUGGUUGUUCUCCAAAUGUGCGGUUGCUACAAGAUCAAUAACAUACCGUACAUAAAUACCACUUGGUAGAUGUUCAAAAAAGCAUAAAAACAUCACUGAACCAACACCUCAUGGCUCACUUGCCCAUUUGCCAAAUUGGAGGCAUUUUUUCAAUGAACACAAAAACUUUGUAUCAUGCUGGUCAAGCUAAAGCUAAGACUCAAACUCAGCUGAGACUGUACUUUGGCACAGUAGGUGCUUUAAGCUGAGUGCUAACGCCAGCAUGCUAAAAUACUGACAAUGACAAUGCCAGUAUGCUUAUGUUUAAUACUGUAUGUACAGUGUUUACAGAUCAAAGUUAUUACAAUCCAUCAUGAGGGUGAAAUGAAUGUCUACAUCAAAUUUCGACAGUCGAGGCAUUCCACUCAUGACUGGCACUGAAGAAAAAAUCAGUGUGAAGGUUUUAUCAUUUGGGGGCCAUAAAUGUCUGUACCCUAUGUCGUGGCUAUCCAUCCAAUAGCUGUUCGGAAAUGUCUGUCCAACCAAAGUGGUGGACUGACCAACUAACAUUGUGUAACCCGGGUCACAAAGAGUUAACAACACAGAAGUGCCUUAGCCAAUCAGAGCGCAGGUCCGCAGCACCGUAGGCAAGCUACACAGCGUACGCUAGUCAGACGCUGGGUGACACUGUUGAGGAAGGACCUGCCGCUGAGUGGUAAAAAAUAUAACUCAGAUAAAACAGUAAAAACACCAUAUAAUGUUGUCAAAACAGAACGGUAACAGCCUGUACUUUGUUGUAAGCUCAUACAGGUGUGUGUGUGAGAGACUGCUCACUGAAACCUGCCGAGUGACUCAGAGGAACUCCUGAAUUGGUCAGGUUUUUUGAGUUGAUUUGAAGUUGAUGGCAAGCCAAACCAGACGAGACCAUUAGAUCCCUGGAUUGAAGAUCCCUGAACCGAGAGCCCAGAGCCGAGAACUGUCAACCUUACCUCUCUCUUGCCACAGCGGUCCAGGCAGGCAGAGAAAGACCCUCUCUUCUUUGUGAAAGUGGCCACAGCCCAGAACUUAACUGCAAGGAUUGAUGAAGUCACAUAAAAGGGGAGACAGCAGCUGUCCAGAGGGAGCGGAUAGGUCAGCGAUCUGCACAGGACAAAAGCUAAAUACCACAAAGUCACCAGUGCGUCAUAUAGAGGCCUCUCACACAGGCCAGGAGUCACUUCUAUGAGUAAGAGUUGCAUGAAUGAGCCAUGAUGAACUGUGUGAGAAUGGAACCAAAGAAAGGAGCAGAGAAAAAAGCUGCCGGUGUGGAGGGCAGGGGUCCGUGUCCAGCGAAGUGCCACUCGCCUCUCAACUGGCAUUCUGUAAAAGGGGCACUUUAAGCAGCUGGCCACAUAAAAGGUUUUACAGCAUCCUUGAAAACAGAGCCAACACAAUGAAGACUUCACUCUGGUCUUCACACGAAAUGACUAACACUAUUUGGGCUGAGGACGAAUACUUCCUUGGGCUGUGCUGUCACCACUGGUGGUAAAUAUGAUGUCUGCCUGUAACACGGUUUCCUUUUGGAGACAUCUAGUUCAUAUCUGUCAGCGGGGGUCCUGUGAUGAGAUCCUUCAUUAUGCCCACUCAGAGUAAUGAUUCUGGCAGUGAAAAUGGUAGACAGCCCACAGCAUCAUCUCAGAGGAAGCAUGCGAUGACACUGACAACUACAGGCUGCAUGGUGUACAUUCAGCAUUUGGACUCCCCCUUCUACAUGUAACCCAUCGAAUAUAUCUGUAGCACGAUUUGCUGUUCCACAAAAGAGGCAUAUUUUUUCACCAGCAGCUGGUUUCUGCAGGGUGUAUUCCCAAAGGGACAAAACAGCCCCGACCACAAAGGACAGGGCUGCUGUAAUCGUUGGACGCCUUGGCUCACAUCAAAGCGCUCGCCAAGCUGAGAUUGCAUCUCUCUCCACCCACUGUUUCUGUGCCCAGCCGUCAUUCUGGGCAAGCGUUUGAGCUGCAGCCAUGUCUUGAUCAGAGAGAUGUAGUAGAUAGUGUGAUAUGGCUAAACUGCUGACACAAGGCUCUCGGGCAGAUGGCACCUAUUGAUUUUAGGCCAAAAUCUUUCCAAUGUUGGGAGGGAGCUAGAGUUUGUUGCUAUUCAUGAAAAUUUCAUCGACUGAAAAAAAAAAAAGGUAAAACUCUCUUUCACUAAAAUGGGUUUCAAAGGAAACAGUUGUUAUAGUAAUAAAAUAUCACAGCCUCCUGCGCUACAUUCUGUCGAAGCUCUAGGACUUGUCUUUAACAUGCAAACUCAUCUUUAAUUCAUCGCCUACAGCAGCAUAACCUUAGCUGUGAUCUCAAUUUACAUAUUAAAUGACAAUCCUUAACGCUAACAAAUGAGUCUACUGUAUAACAUUAGGGAAUCCCCUUGGUGCCUCACAUAAAAAGACAAACAAUAGUAGCUCUCAUAAAGAGAAGAGAGCACUUGCACCAUUGUGCUCUUUAUGUUACACCUUGGAUCACAUUGAGCCUUGUUAACAAAUGAAAUAUCCACAGUUUAGAGUACAAGAUAGUCUACGUUCUCAUUAUUAAGACAUAAAUAACCCAUCUAACAUUUUUAUCUCCAUCUGUUGGGGAUAAUGAAAAAUUAACAUCUGAGAUUUGUUACAGAGGAAGAUAUAGGUGAUGUUAUGGAAAAGAGAACUUGGUAAUUCUGAAUGUUUUGUGUACUAUCAGUAAUAUACCUUAUAAUGUCUCACUGUACAUGGAGUUGUGUCCUGGAAUGACUUGGAGUGAUGCCAGUAUGUCAGCAGAAUUGGAGUUUUACUUAUACAAACAUUUCUCUGAGGCAGAAUUCAGUUCAACCACAGCUUUUUACAGCAUUCAAGAUUACUUUAAUAAUUUGCCAACAACAAACAUUCUGCCCUCAAGCAAAUCAAGUUUCAAUAAAAGAAAUGUGGUCAUACUCAGGAAAUAGAGCCAGAAGUAAAUGGCUGAGAAAUGUUUAUUUGGGUAUAAUCAGCAAAAUUUGCCUUAUUGAAUGAAAACACACCACACGUUUAGAUGCAAGGCUACUGAUGAAAACUGAGGUAAGCACUUUUGUUUUCAAUUGCUGAAAUGUUGCUCUUUAACAAAGCUGCAGUAACAUUUGCUUGU
This is a long non-coding RNA of Thunnus maccoyii (southern bluefin tuna), 5386 nucleotides long. RefSeq lists it as uncharacterized. The transcript has 8 exons. The record is from RefSeq and is a predicted model, not a curated record. Lineage: Eukaryota; Metazoa; Chordata; Actinopteri; Scombriformes; Scombridae.